AUUGAACGCUGGCGGUAUGCUUAACACAUGCAAGUCGAACGGUAGCAGGCCUUCGGGCGCUGACGAGUGGCGGACGGGUGAGUAAUGCAUAGGAAUCUGCCUUUUAGUGGGGGAUAACGUGGGGAAACUCACGCUAAUACCGCAUACGUCCUACGGGAGAAAGCGGGGGCUCUUCGGACCUCGCGCUAAAAGAUGAGCCUAUGUUGGAUUAGCUAGUUGGUAGGGUAAAGGCCUACCAAGGCGACGAUCCAUAGCUGGUCUGAGAGGAUGAUCAGCCACACUGGGACUGAGACACGGCCCAGACUCCUACGGGAGGCAGCAGUGGGGAAUAUUGGACAAUGGGCGAAAGCCUGAUCCAGCAAUACCGCGUGUGUGAAGAAGGCCUGAGGGUUGUAAAGCACUUUCAAUGGGAAGGAACACCUUUGGGCUAAUACCCUGAAGACUGACAUUACCCAUAGAAGAAGCACCGGCUAACUCCGUGCCAGCAGCCGCGGUAAUACGGAGGGUGCGAGCGUUAAUCGGAAUUACUGGGCGUAAAGAGUGCGUAGGCGGUUCGUUAAGUCAGAUGUGAAAGCCCUGGGCUCAACCUGGGAACUGCAUUUGAUACUGGCGAACUCGAGUUGAGUAGAGGAGAGUGGAAUUUCAGGUGUAGCGGUGAAAUGCGUAGAGAUCUGAAGGAACACCAGUGGCGAAGGCGGCUCUCUGGACUCAAACUGACGCUGAGGUACGAAAGCGUGGGUAGCAAACAGGAUUAGAUACCCUGGUAGUCCACGCCGUAAACGAUGUCAACUAACCGUUGGGUUCUUAAAGAACUUAGUGGUGGAGCUAACGUAUUAAGUUGACCGCCUGGGGAGUACGGCCGCAAGGCUAAAACUCAAAUGAAUUGACGGGGGCCCGCACAAGCGGUGGAGCAUGUGGUUUAAUUCGAUGCAACGCGAAGAACCUUACCUACCCUUGACAUCCAGAGAAU
RNAcentral lists this ribosomal RNA (970 nucleotides) under uncultured bacterium. Its description in RNAcentral is "bacterial SSU rRNA". It matches the Rfam family "Bacterial small subunit ribosomal RNA", at positions 28 to 996 of the family's 1533-position model. The record is from RNAcentral.